Molecule: ribosomal RNA, 274 nt
Filed under: uncultured bacterium
Lineage: Bacteria
Description: partial 16S ribosomal RNA
Rfam family: Bacterial small subunit ribosomal RNA
Source: RNAcentral
AUACGAAGGGGGCAAGCGUUGUUCGGAAUAACUGGGCGUAAAGCGCACGUAGGCGGAUUGUUUAGUUAGAGGUGAAAUCCCAGGGCUCAACCCUGGAACUGCCUUUAAUACUGGCAGUCUAGAGACCGAGAGAGGUGAGUGGAAUUCCGAGUGUAGAGGUGAAAUUCGUAGAUAUUCGGAGGAACACCAGUGGCGAAGGCGGCUCACUGGCUCGGUACUGACGCUGAGGUGCGAAAGCGUGGGGAGCAAACAGGAUUAGAAACCCCAGUAGUCC